Molecule: long non-coding RNA, 481 nt
Organism: Homo sapiens (human)
Lineage: Eukaryota; Metazoa; Chordata; Mammalia; Primates; Hominidae
Source: Ensembl
ACAAGUCCCGGAGGCACAGAAAGGGCAACCAUUCUAAAUCCUUGGUAAGGGCUCCGUGCAGUAGUUAACCCCCCAAAUCCGACUAAGGAGAGCAGGACGGCGGAACCCGGGUGCCCUAAUCAAAUAUGGGCACCAAGGAAGGAAAAAAGCGUCCGCAUCUGCUCGCUGGUCACCGCCGACGACAGAUUCGUCACCUGAAUCACCGACGUGGGGGUGAGGCCGAAGCCUAAGCCCAAACCGAAGCCGCCGCCGCUGUUCAUCCCGAUCCCGCUGCCGUUGCCUUCCCGCUCCCCAACGUCUACGACGCGUCAGCGACGGAGCCGGGAAAGCGGAGAACGCGCGGCCGCGAGCGCGCUCCCGCUGGCGAAUUCACAGCGCCGGGCAGAUCUAGCCGCCCAUUUCACAACUCCCCUGCUCCCGGGGCUGCGCGCGCCAGCCGGAAGCGUCGCCCCGGCAACCCGGCGGUUCUCGCGCGGCUGCG